GACGAACGCUGGCGGCGUGCUUAACGCAUGCAAGUCGAACGGAAAGGCCCCUUCGGGGGUACUCGAGUGGCGAACAGGUGAGUAACACGUGAGUAACCUGCCCUUGACUUCGGGAUAACUUCAGGAAACUGGGGCUAAUACCGGAUAGGAAUCCUUGCUGCAUGGUGGGGGUUGGAAAGCUUCGGCGGUUUUGGAUGGACUCGCGGCUUAUCAGCUUGUUGGUGGGGUAGUGGCUUACCAAGGCUUUGACGGGUAGCCGGCCUGAGAGGGCGACCGGCCACAUUGGGACUGAGAUACGGCCCAGACUCCUACGGGAGGCAGCAGUGGGGAAUAUUGCACAAUGGGCGGAAGCCUGAUGCAGCAACGCCGCGUGCGGGAUGACGGCCUUCGGGUUGUAAACCGCUUUCAGCAGGGGCGAAGCUUGUGGUGACGGUACCUGCAGAAGAAGCACCGGCUAACUACGUG
Molecule: ribosomal RNA, 465 nt
Filed under: uncultured bacterium
Lineage: Bacteria
Description: partial 16S ribosomal RNA
Rfam family: Bacterial small subunit ribosomal RNA
Source: RNAcentral